GUGGGGAAUAUUGGACAAUGGGCGAAAGCCUGAUCCAGCCAUGCCGCGUGUGUGAAGAAGGUCUUCGGAUUGUAAAGCACUUUAAGUUGGGAGGAAGGGCAGUAAGUUAAUACCUUGCUGUUUUGACGUUACCGACAGAAUAAGCACCGGCUAACUUCGUGCCAGCAGCCGCGGUAAUACGAAGGGUGCAAGCAUUAAUCGGAAUUACUGGGCGUAAAGCGCGCGUAGGUGGUUUUGUAAGUUGGAGGUGAAAUCCCCGGGCUCAACCUGGGAACUGCCUCCAAAACUGCAUGACUAGAGUACGGUAGAGGGUAGUGGAAUUUCCUGUGUAGCGGUGAAAUGCGUAGAUAUAGGAAGGAACACCAGUGGCGAAGGCGACUACCUGGACUGAUACUGACACUGAGGUGCGAAAGCGUGGGGAGCAAACAGGAUUAGAUACCCUUGUAGUCC
This 450-nucleotide ribosomal RNA is filed under the name uncultured bacterium. Its description in RNAcentral is "partial 16S ribosomal RNA". It matches the Rfam family "Bacterial small subunit ribosomal RNA", at positions 354 to 796 of the family's 1533-position model. The record is from RNAcentral.